Molecule: ribosomal RNA, 292 nt
Filed under: uncultured bacterium
Lineage: Bacteria
Description: partial 16S ribosomal RNA
Rfam family: Bacterial small subunit ribosomal RNA
Source: RNAcentral
GUGUCAGCAGCCGCGGUAAAACGUAGGACGCAAGCGUUAUCCGGAAUUACUGGGCGUAAAGCGCGCGCAGGCGGGGCGGUUAGUCCGCUGUGAAAGCUCCUGGCUAAACUGGGAGAGGUCAGUGGAAACUGCCGCUCUGGAGGGUGUCAGAGGCGAGUGGAAUUCCGCGUGUAGUGGUGAAAUGCGUAGAGAUGCGGAGGAACACCCGUGGCGAAGGCGGCUCGCUAGGACAACCCUGACGCUGAGGCGCGAAAGCAUGGGGAGCGAACGGGAUUAGAAACCCCCGUAGUCC